Molecule: non-coding RNA, 109 nt
Organism: Canis lupus familiaris (dog)
Lineage: Eukaryota; Metazoa; Chordata; Mammalia; Carnivora; Canidae
Source: Rfam
GUGCUCACUUCAGCAGCACAUAUGCUAAAAUUGGAAUGGUACAGAGAAGAUUAGCAUGGCCCCCACACAAGGAUGACAUGCAAUUACAUUUGGAGACUUCAACACCUCU